Non-coding RNA from Schistosoma rodhaini, 45 nucleotides. NCBI's taxonomy places the organism in Eukaryota, Metazoa, Platyhelminthes, Trematoda, Strigeidida, Schistosomatidae. The record is from Rfam.
AUCCAGCUGACGAGUCCUGAAUAGAACGGAACGCGCGUCCUGGAU